Long non-coding RNA from Zonotrichia leucophrys gambelii, 333 nucleotides. RefSeq lists it as uncharacterized. NCBI's taxonomy places the organism in Eukaryota, Metazoa, Chordata, Aves, Passeriformes, Passerellidae. The transcript is spliced from 3 exons. The record is from RefSeq and is a predicted model, not a curated record.
GAAGCCCUCACUGAACUGUGUAAAUAAGAUAACCUAAGGUAUUACAUACCCUGGAAAAUCACAAGUAAGGGAGCAGUGAAUCAUAUGAUUGAUCUUGAUUCUUCCUGGAGUGUCCUACAGCAAUAGGAUUUUCUUGUUAAAACAUAUUUGAUCAUCAAGUGAUACAGGAGCCAAGUGGAAAUGUACCUCAGACUACUGAUUUGAUGUUUACAUGUCCAAGUUCACAGAAAAUUGCAUGAUCUAGGAGCUGGAAGAAAAUGUUUCACUGCUUUCCAGCUGAAAUUCCCAGAUGCUUUUUGGCUAUGAAAAGCUCUCUGGCUGAUGUUUACUUCC